Molecule: ribosomal RNA, 253 nt
Filed under: uncultured bacterium
Lineage: Bacteria
Description: partial 16S ribosomal RNA
Rfam family: Bacterial small subunit ribosomal RNA
Source: RNAcentral
UACGAAGGGGGCUAGCGUUGCUCGGAAUCACUGGGCGUAAAGCGCACGUAGGCGGAUCUUUAAGUCAGGGGUGAAAUCCUGGAGCUCAACUCCAGAACUGCCUUUGAUACUGGGGAUCUCGAGUCCGGGAGAGGUGAGUGGAACUCCGAGUGUAGAGGUGAAAUUCGUAGAUAUUCGGAAGAACACCAGUGGCGAAGGCGGCUCACUGGCCCGGUACUGACGCUGAGGUGCGAAAGCGUGGGGAGCAAUCAGG